GGAGAUAGAAUAUUUAUUACUAGAGCUAUAGAAAUAUUACUGCAAGGGAAAGAUGAAAGAUAUAAUUAAAGUAUAACAAAGCAAAGAUAAAACCUUCUACCUUUUGCAUAAUGGACUAACUAUAAUAAAUUUGACAAGAAUCACCCUUAUACCUUUU
Perognathus longimembris pacificus (Pacific pocket mouse) is the source of this 157-nucleotide long non-coding RNA. RefSeq lists it as uncharacterized. The transcript is spliced from 3 exons. Lineage: Eukaryota; Metazoa; Chordata; Mammalia; Rodentia; Heteromyidae. The record is from RefSeq and is a predicted model, not a curated record.